ACUGGGCGUCGUGGCGGGCGCCUGUGAGCCCAGCUUCUAGGCAGUAGAUUGGUGUGGAUGGAGUGAGGGGAGGAGUCCCGUGAUGGUUGCGGUGUACGGCGACCGGGCGUCCGCGCCAAGCGUUGCGUCGCCAGGGUUCUGCUGCCGGAGGGCGGUGGAACCCGGGCGGUCAAGGAGGGGUGCACGGCUCAGGCCCGAAAGGGAGCAGGCAAAAACCCCCGCGCUACGCAGUGGCCGGAUCGCGCCCGCGAGUGCUCGCACCAUCACGGCCUCUCCGAUACCUUCAGACCGCCGAU
This is a non-coding RNA of Ostertagia ostertagi, 296 nucleotides long. The record is from the annotation of a GenBank genome assembly. Lineage: Eukaryota; Metazoa; Nematoda; Chromadorea; Rhabditida; Trichostrongylidae.